CGGCCGGCCCCCCUCCGAGGGGCCGGGACAGGCAGCUCCGCCUGGGGCUCCCUCCAGGCCAGGGCAGCGACUGGGGUCCUGCGCCCAGGGGGCUGCUGGGCCGGGCUGAGUCCCCGGAGCUGCCCAGUCCGGCCAGGGCAGGAGUCUGCUGCGUGCCCAGGACUGAGGAACCGCAGGAGCAAGCCCUGAGCACUGAUCCAGGAGUAGUCCCCACACCUGGGUGGGUGCGGCCCUGCCUCGCUCCCGUCCCCUGGGAAAACCUCGAGAGCGCCCUCCUGAGCUGUCUGCUCCCAAAGUCGCCUCUGUGAGGAGCCGGAAGAAUCCAGGGCAGGGAUUUUCCUUGGAGGCAAGAAGGUCACCGGGAGACGGCCUGCGGGGAGGCGCCUCCAUCUCCUGCCGGCGGGCGUCAGAGGAGCCCGGAGAGACAGAAGCACGGUCGCCCACAAGGAACGGUCUGCCUCGUUUCGCCGCGUGCAGAGAUUUGGCUCUUGCACCCAACACCCUGUCCUGCCAAACUGGAUGGACAGAAGGACUCUUGGUUCCAAAGACAGGGCAAGUCGGGGCCAGCAGGUGGGGAGGAGUGCUGGGCUCUCACCUUGGCAAGGGCGGCCCUCUGGGCCCUGGCGGGAGCAGGGGGGCCUGGCCCUGAGGAGGGGGCUCAGGUGAAGGUCUCCCCAGGGGAGAUUGGACUAGAGCGAGAAGUCUGUCAGCUGCACUGCUGAUUGACAAGAAUGUAAG
Molecule: long non-coding RNA, 738 nt
Organism: Sorex araneus (European shrew)
Lineage: Eukaryota; Metazoa; Chordata; Mammalia; Eulipotyphla; Soricidae
Exons: 3
Source: RefSeq, a predicted model, not a curated record